AAUAGAUACCCUGGUAGUCCACGCCGUAAACGAUGAGUGCUAAGUGUUAGAGGGUUUCCGCCCUUUAGUGCUGCAGCUAACGCAUUAAGCACUCCGCCUGGGGAGUACGGCCGCAAGGCUGAAACUCAAAGGAAUUGACGGGGGCCCGCACAAGCGGUGGAGCAUGUGGUUUAAUUCGAAGCAACGCGAAGAACCUUACCAGGUCUUGACAUCCUCUGACCUCCCUGGAGGCAGGGCCUUCCCCUUCGGGGGACAGAGUGACAGGUGGUGCAUGGUUGUCGUCAGCUCGUGUCGUGAGAUGUUGGGUUAAGUCCCGCAACGAGCGCAACCCUUGACCUUAGUUGCCAGCAUUCAGUUGGGCACUCUAAGGUGACUGCCGGUGACAAACCGGAGGAAGGUGGGGAUGACGUCAAAUCAUCAUGCCCCUUAUGACCUGGGCUACACACGUGCUACAAUGGAUGGUACAAAGGGCUGCGAGACCGCGAGGUUAAGCCAAUCCCAGAAAACCAUUCCCAGUUCGGAUUGCAGGCUGCAACCCG
RNAcentral lists this ribosomal RNA (539 nucleotides) under uncultured bacterium. RNAcentral describes it as "bacterial SSU rRNA". It matches the Rfam family "Bacterial small subunit ribosomal RNA", at positions 777 to 1314 of the family's 1533-position model. The record is from RNAcentral.